Molecule: non-coding RNA, 101 nt
Filed under: chicken gut metagenome
Description: SAM riboswitch (S box leader)
Rfam family: SAM riboswitch aptamer (S box leader)
About the family: The SAM riboswitch is found upstream of a number of genes which code for proteins involved in methionine or cysteine biosynthesis in Gram-positive bacteria. The SAM riboswitch acts at the level of transcription termination control. The predicted structure consists of a complex stem-loop region followed by a single stem loop terminator region.
Source: RNAcentral
GCUUAUCAAGAGUGACAGAGGGAACAGGCCCUAUGAUGUCCGGCAACCUGCUCGAUGGGAGUAAGGUGCCAAAUCCUGCGGUAAUAAGCCGAAAGAUGAGA